RNAcentral lists this unclassified non-coding RNA (400 nucleotides) under uncultured fungus. Its description in RNAcentral is "sequence contains ITS1". The stretch from base 1 to 105 matches the Rfam family "5.8S ribosomal RNA", at positions 50 to 154 of the family's 154-position model. Lineage: Eukaryota; Fungi. The record is from RNAcentral.
GAAAUGCGAUAAGUAAUGUGAAUUGCAGAAUUCAGUGAAUCAUCGAAUCUUUGAACGCACAUUGCGCUCCUUGGUAUUCCGAAGAGCACGCCUGUUUGAGUAUCGAAAAAACCAUCAAGUCUUGGUCUCGGAGUUCUCUCCGAUCGACUUUGAGACUUGGAGCUGGACUGUCCUUACCUUCACAAGUAAGGCAGCCUUAAAGUCGAGCGUUGGAAGCUGGAUCUCCUCUUCUGGGAUCGCUGCCCGAAUGUCAUGAAUUGAGAUCUCCUCUCGGGGGGAAUUCUUCAUUAUUCUUUCUUGCAGCUUGAGCCUGGUGGAGCACCGGUCGACCGAUUCACCCACUACCACACGAGGGGUCGUUUCACGAUCCGUCGAAUACUUGGUCUCAAAUCAGGCGGGA